RNAcentral lists this long non-coding RNA (675 nucleotides) under Homo sapiens (human). RNAcentral describes it as "HSALNT0193907". Lineage: Eukaryota; Metazoa; Chordata; Mammalia; Primates; Hominidae. The record is from RNAcentral.
GGGACUGGUGGGUGGGCCUAGCAGCAGUCUCUUUGCUUAAAGAGCUAUUAGAUUCUCCUGGAAGAGUUCAUCCUAAGGACAGAGAUCAAGGCACACAAUUCAGUCCAACAACAAUGUCCAGGCAGGAGGAGUGGUUUGCGUAUAGUGCAGCCCAGCUCCCAGGCACUCUCAUCCGAAGCCUAGAGGAGGCGCUACGAGUAAAAACUAACAGCUGCUCUCACACAUCUCACAUCUAAAACAGCAUCAUUUCCUGGCUUGUUGCCCAGCCUUUGGAGGAUGUGACUGAUGAAAGGCAGGCAGAACCCCACGGUGGGAAAAGAGGAGAAAGAAAUAUUUAUUAAGCACUUACUCUGGCCAGGAGGCCUACCUGGCCAUUUCACACAAGUGGGUCACCUCACGUCUUUUAAUCCCCAGAAACCUACAAUUACUGCAUGGAAUGGAAAAGCUGCCCCCAAAUUGUACAAGCUUCUGGAUCCACCAAGCCAGGAUUCAGCCCUCAGCAGGACAGAGAGAGUACCCUGGUCGUGGAGCUAGAAGGCUUCCAGGAGGUGUGUUCAAAAUGAGAUUUAAGCAAGAGAAGAAUUUUUACUACACACAGAAGCGGAAGGCCAGGGGAAAGGUGGGCAAAGAAAUUAGGCUAUGAGAAGACCGGGGUUGGGGUGGUUUAAAACAUCC